CCUACGGGUGGCAGCAGUGGGGAAUAUUGGGCAAUGGGCGCAAGCCUGACCCAGCAACGCCGCGUGCAGGAAGAAGGCUCUCGGGUUGUAAACUUCCUUUAAGAGGGAAGAGCAGAAGACGGUACCUCUUGAUUAAGCCACGGCUAAGUACGUGCCAGCAGCCGCGGUAAUACGUAGGUGGCAAGCGUUGACCGGAUUUACUGGGUGUAAAGGGCGUGUAGCCGGGCUGACAAGGCGGAUGUGAAAUUCCUGGGCUCAACCCCGGACCUGCAUUUGAAACUGGUGGUCUUGAGUAUCGGGAAGGCAGGCGGAAUUCCUAGUGUAGCGGUGAAAUGCGUAGAUAUUAGGAGGAACACCAGUGGCGAAGGCGACUUUCUGGACGAUAACUGACGUUGAGGCACGAAAGUGUGGGGAGCAAACAGGAUUAGAUACCCCGGUAGUC
This 442-nucleotide ribosomal RNA is filed under the name uncultured bacterium. RNAcentral's name for it is "partial 16S ribosomal RNA". It matches the Rfam family "Bacterial small subunit ribosomal RNA", at positions 338 to 795 of the family's 1533-position model. The record is from RNAcentral.